AGAGGCUUCCGCAAUGGGGGAAACCCUGACGGAGCGACGCCGCGUGCGGGAUGAAGGCUUUCGGGUUGUAAACCGCUUUCAGGUGGGAAGCAAUGCCGGCGAGUGAAUAAUUCUCCUGCCUUGACGGUACCACCAGAAGAAGCCCCGGCCAACUCCGUGCCCGCAGCCGCGGUACCACGGGGGGAGCGAGCGUUGUUCGGAUUCAUUGGGCGUAAAGGGCGCGUAGGCGGCUUCGCAAGUCUGACGUGAAAUGUACCGGUUCAACCGGGGCGCUGUGUCGGAAACUGCGUGGCUUGAGGUCGAGGGAGGAGAGUGGAAUUCCUGGUGUAGCGGUGAAAUGCGUAGAUAUCAGGAGGAACACCCGUGGCGAAGGCGGCUCUCUAUCUCGAUUCUGACGCUGAGGCGCGAAAGCCAGGGGAGCAAAC
RNAcentral lists this ribosomal RNA (425 nucleotides) under uncultured bacterium. RNAcentral's name for it is "bacterial SSU rRNA". It matches the Rfam family "Bacterial small subunit ribosomal RNA", at positions 358 to 773 of the family's 1533-position model. The record is from RNAcentral.